GUCCAACUUGAGAGGGAGACCACGCCUGGCACUGCCUGGAUGGCCAAGAAUUAAAGGCUGAAGAGCCCACAGACCUAGAAUAGAACCAAACAUGAAUGGCCAAAAAAGAAAAAAAAGUCAAUGAAAUGAUUCCUAAUGAUAUUCUGGCACAGAUUGAAGCUUAGCCAAACAUGAAUUGAUGGAGCUUGGGGAACCCACAGAAGAAGGAGAAGAAGGAUAUUAGAAGUCAGAAGGAAUGGAGGCCAUCAGGAGAACAUAGCCAACUGAAUCAACUAAGUAGAACUCACAGAGACUGAAGCAACAACCAAAAAUCCUGUAUGGGUCUGAGCAAAACAUGCAAAUCAUGUUAAGAAAGAAGAGCAAUCCCCAAAAUUCCUGACAGACACAGACUCACAGUGCUGCUGUACCAGUUCACAGGGACCAGAGUGCUGGCAAACGGCUGAAACUGCAUUACAAAGAGGUUUACAGGUCUCUGAAAAGCCCAACAAAUGCACCUUAUACUCUUAUGGUAUAAAGCUGCCUUGUUAGCGCCUCAUACUUCGUCAGAAACUGUGUUUUGAAGCCUCUGCAAAAGUGCGAUGUCCCAAAGCUGCUGCUUACCCAGU
Molecule: long non-coding RNA, 605 nt
Organism: Meriones unguiculatus (Mongolian gerbil)
Lineage: Eukaryota; Metazoa; Chordata; Mammalia; Rodentia; Muridae
Exons: 3
Source: RefSeq, a predicted model, not a curated record